CUCCCGAUGCAGCCUGCAUCCCCAGACUAGAGUGGCCCCAGCUGAUGGUCAGAUCUGUGGUCUUGCUCCCAGGGAUAGGUUGCUGGCAUGAGAUGCAGCAUGGGAGCCUAGGAAUUAGCACAGUCGCUGGGCAAAGGCACAGCCACGGGACCCAAAAGGCCCCCAGCACUGGGGAAGCAGCUCUUUGACCCAACACACAGCACUUCCAGUUUAAAAAAUUUUUAAUGUCUGUUUCCCUCCUUGGUCCCUGACAUUCCUAUAAAAUGGAGAGAGCUUCCCGGAAUUCUCCUCUUCCUAGCCUGUUGUUUUCAGUUUUGAUUCUAUUUUUAAAUAAGUGAAACCUAAGAAGAGCUCCACCCCUCCUCGUUGGUUUGACAACAAUAACCUGCUGCCCGGCUGCCUUUGCAGCAGUGAGACUUGGACAGGACCCCGGCAAGAUGCAGGCCCUGGGGGGCCCCAGUCCCGGGCAGACGUGCGUGCUGAUCCUGAUCUUUACAGUGCUCCUGCAGUCCCUCUGCGUGGCCGUGACUUACAUGUACUUCACCAGGGAGCUGAAGCAGGUCAGUACCAUGCACACGGUCCCUGACAGAGGCUCUCAGCCACCCCGGGGUUAACUGCCUCUGUGUCGUCUUCUGUGAAGAAUUUACAGUAGGGAAAAAAAAGUUCCCUCUCUCUGCCUGUGGACCCUAACUGCUAAUGCAUGUGAAUACUGAGGACCUUGCAGACGUGUGAGUUGAAAGGAUUGUGUGAUCAGCGUGCAGUUACAGAGCUGGCUCGACCGGCUACUAGCAGACGCAGGAACAAAACUCCUAACCUGGUUUGUUUUUUCUCUUCAACAGCAUGAGCAUUUUAUAAUACUAGCAAUUGAACUAAAGCAGGCACCAAGUCUUAGAAUGUCAUCAGGUUUAUCUUUUUCCUCCAGGAUACGGGGUGGGGUGUAAGUCCAAUCUUUGAAACAUGUUUUGGUUUGAGAUCUGUGGCAUUUCUGUGUUGACAAUAGGGAGGAUAUGAAGGACUGGCAUUCGUCUAUUCCCUAGCCGCAGACGUGUCAUGCAUAAAGUCUGUAAUAAAGUCUGUUACCAGAUGGACUCCACAUUUUAUGUUCAUGAUAAAAUAAUGGAAAAUAAAACGAUGGUUCUAUAUCUGUGGGUGGUCCAAGUAUGAAUGCAGGUACAUUUGACAGAGGGGGGGAAAAAACUUUGUGCCAUUUUAGUUCCUGCAUUUCUCAACUAUAUAAAACUUUUGGAACUAUGAAUGCAAAAUGGCCGAAAAUACACCAAGUUAGCUUUGGGCUUCUAAUGUAUGUUUUGACUAAUUGUGUAUUAUAUAGUAGAGAACUGUGAGCUGGAAGGAACUUUGGAUAUCCCCCUCCCUCCAUUUUAUAGAUGAGGAGCCUAGAGACCCCCAGACAAAAUGACAUAGCUCAGACAGGGCUUUGGAAGCGGAGCUGAAGUCAGUUCUUUGGGCACCUAAAUAACACUCCUUCCUCCACAACAGGGUGUCCACAAGGCUGACAUGUUUGCACCCUUGGAUGCACACUGCAUCCUGCUACAUUAUGAUAAAGCAACAUUGCAUCUACCAGCUGGCUAGGAAAUGCAAGUAGAAGGGUCUCAGAAAAAUAUAAAUUAUCCAAAUGCCAUAGAGUGAGUAUCUGUUAAGGAAAUGCAGUUUGUAUACCCUGUGGAGUAUACAUUUGCUUAUCUCAAAUGGUUGCAAAUUUUUCCUUUGGAUUUGGAUGACGUAGACUCUUGUUUGAUUUGCAAGUAAUUAUGAAAAUUAGGGGCUACCCUUAGAUGACCCGUGAGGUCAGCUUUGCUCUAGGGCAGACUCAGAAGAGUCUGGAUAUUUGUAACUAAAACAUCAGUGUAACUAUAAACAUGCCUCUAGUUCUAAGUCUACCUUAGAAGCUGGAAUACUGCUGUGUUUAUGAAAUCGGAGCUAGCCUGUCCUAACCUUUGUUAACUUUGCAGGAUACACAGAACGAGUCUGUCUCUUUAUUACGCAAGUCAUUCCCUCAGUUUGCUGACAUUACAAGUUGGUCUAAUUUUUUUUUUU
Non-coding RNA from Leptonychotes weddellii (Weddell seal), 2055 nucleotides. The record is from RefSeq and is a predicted model, not a curated record. Lineage: Eukaryota; Metazoa; Chordata; Mammalia; Carnivora; Phocidae.